Oxyura jamaicensis (ruddy duck) is the source of this 229-nucleotide long non-coding RNA. RefSeq lists it as uncharacterized. The record is from RefSeq and is a predicted model, not a curated record. The transcript has 2 exons. NCBI's taxonomy places the organism in Eukaryota, Metazoa, Chordata, Aves, Anseriformes, Anatidae.
GCCCCCGACUGCUCCAUCGUAGCGCGGAUGAGCCGGACGACAAGCGCCUGCGUCCCGAUGAAGCCGGGGGGCUCCUGACCCCCCUCAACUUCUCCAGCACCGGGGCGGACGCGGGCGGCAGCCCCUCCACCUACAGUUACUGGUACCAGCAAGGCUACGGCACCUACAACUACCAGACGCCAUGGAGCUACAACCAGUACUACUCACAGAGCUGAGCCCCCCAACCCCC